Molecule: long non-coding RNA, 9126 nt
Organism: Macaca fascicularis (crab-eating macaque)
Lineage: Eukaryota; Metazoa; Chordata; Mammalia; Primates; Cercopithecidae
Source: Ensembl
GUUCAUUUUAAAACACAGCUAAUACGGACUGAAAGCUAAAAUUGUAGAAAACAGUCAUGGUUUAUACUUGGUUGAUGCAGCAUCAAAAUUGAGUGUGCUCCCACUGAAUGAACUGGACAUGAUUAUUAGUGGAAACCCUUGUUGAAUUAUCCAUCUAAACAAAGCCUAGCUGUUUUGUUUUCUAAACAGAACUACUAGAAAGGACACAUUAAAUAUUGCCAUCUUGGGCAUUUCGGGAAAUUCAAAGUUUGGUAUGGCUAAAGUUUGUUAGUUAUUCCUGUAAAAGACAGUGGUAAGUUUUCAAAUUGGAAUGCUGUUUGAAAUGCUUUAGCACUAAACUUCAAGACUAUGAAAUGGUCUAAUUUAAAAAAAUUAUUUCUUUUGGAAAGACAAAAAGAUAUUUGCUGCUAUUGCUACAGUUAUGCUGUAUAUAUGCAAAUAAAAAAUAAUCUACUGAGAAAAAGAUGAAGAUGAUGGUUGCAAAUGGUUUUAUUGUGUAAACACAGCCAUACUCUUCAAAUUAAUUAUGACAGUGUUAACUUUUAUUGUUCAUUCUCAUGUAAAAAUUUCAAAAAUGCUACAAUGCUGAAAAAGAGUAGCUGAGGGAGAUCAAAGAGGAUCAAAAACAAUUGAAACCUCUGGUGUCUUAGCAGUUAUCAAAGAAAAUCACAUAUCUCCCAAGACAUUCAAUACUUAUUUAUUUCAAUAAAAACACACAGCUGAAGCCAAAAAAAGAAAAAAGAUACCACAGUAAAACGUUAUUUUUGCUCUGUAGUUUCACCCAGGAGCUUUUCAAAUGUGUAAAGAGCUGCUUAUCUUAUUUAAAAAAUUAUUACAGAACCCUAAAACUAAACUUUUACUUUUCCUACUAAUUACCUAUUUUUGUCAUUGUCGAGCUCCAAUUACAAAAGGUCCAUGUUAGCCACGUCUAUUUCAUUUUAUUUCCAGCACAAUUUUUUGUAAUAGCCCUAUCAAAAUAUUAAGUUGUUAAUUUCAGUUGAGUUACCACAUAAGAGUGGUGCCAUGUAAUAAAGGAGGUGCUAGACCACAUGGAAAUUUACCAAAGGGGAUGUGCUGAAACCUGGUUACAAAUUUCCCGGAAGCCCUCACCCACCUCAAAGAUACAAAAGUGUCAGGUUUGAGAGAUGAAAGAGGAAUUUCUGAGGAGGAUCACUUAGAAAAGAACUGCUUGAGUCCAGUUCCCAAGGGGAAGAGGGGACACUGCUACCUCCUGCACUAUGAAGUCAGAUUCAUUUCCAAAAUCCUGUACUUGACAUGACAAAAUUUGCAGUGUAGAACAAAGACUGGUAAACUUCAACUGGAAAUGACCAGAAAGUGCAUAUUUUAGCCAUUGUACACCACAUAUUUUCUGUUGGAGCUACUCAACUCUGUAAUAGCAUGGAAGCAGCUAUAGACAAUACGUAAAUAAGUGUACAUGACUGUGUUUCAAUAAACUUUAUUGGACACUGAGGGCACCAAAAUUUGAAUUUCAUAUAAUUUCUAAUAUGCCAUGAAACAUUAUUCUUCUCUUUUUUUUUUUUCAACCACUUAAAAAUGUAAACAUCAUUCUUAGCUUCUGGACCAUACAAAAACAGUCAGCGGGCAGGAUUUGUUUGGCUUUCACAGUUUCCCAACUGUUGGUGUAGAACAGGGGCAUCCAAUCUUUUGACUUCCCUGGGACACACUGGAAAAAGCAGCAUUGUUUUGGGCCACACAUAAAAUACACUAACACUAACGACAGCUGAUGAGCUUACAAAAAUCACUAAAAAAAAUCUCAUAAUGUUUUAAGAAACUUUAAAAAUUUGUAUUGAGCUGCAUUCAAAGCUGUCCUGGGUGACAUGCAGUCCCAGAGCUGUCAGUUGGACGAGCUUGGUGUAGAACACAAUUUAGUACUGAGUGGUUCAGAUGUAACAAUAACAGAAGUGUAAGGAAAAGAGAUACAUCACUGAGAUCCCUUCACAGAAAAGUCAAAACUUAAAUUGAAUCUGGAAGACAGUAAAAUAAUUUGGAUGAAAGGAAAAAGGGAUAUUUCCAGUCAGCAAUAGCAUGAUGAGUUCAGUGUGGUAUUUAAUAAAUAAUGAGAUUAUGCCGAGUAGAGCAGACAGCCCUUAUCCACCAGCUAUUGGGUAUCUGUUGAGUAUAUAUGUAUAUGUAUACACUCAACAUGUAGUGUUGCAUAUAUAUAUAUACACACACACAUAUAUGUGUGUGACCAUAAAGUAGGUAAAAUGUAAAUAUUGCUUCUCCAUCUCUCUCUUCUAUUCUUGUAGAACUGCUUUUAGAAAAAUAUUGAACCUUUACCUUCUAGCCUUCAUGACUCAAAUUUUCUUCUAAAAUUUUCUUCUCUGUACUUCUUUGAUCUUUAUUCUGGAUUAUUUCCUCAGAUCUGUUUUCUAGUAUCUAAUUCUUCUUCUUAAUUGUGUCUAAUCUCGUGUGUAACACUUUCAUUGAGGUUUUAAUAUCAACGGCUUACAUGGGUUAUUCUAAAAUUCCAUUUUUUCCAAAAUCUUCCUUUUCUAGUUUCAUAGUGUCAUUUUUUUCUUAAACAAAUUAAACAUACUUAUUUCAAACCAUAUUUUAGAUUUUUAAAUUAUCUUUAGUUUUUAGAGUGUUAAUUUUCUGGGUUCAUUGCCAAUGAAGGUUUGUUUCUUUGCUUUAUAAUUUUUGAUAGUAAACUGACAUUCAAUAGCUUUUGACCUGAGAGACUCUCAUGCUCAGGCUUAUGAAAACUUCCCUACAAAGUGGUUUUGCAUUUGGCCCUGCCAAGCCCACAGGAGUGUUACCCAUUUCAUAACCAUUUCUACCUUCAUUUCUUAGCUUCUGUACCAUAUAGAUAGUAUGAAUUUGGAUCCCGCAACUACAAAGAGUGCAGGUUUGAGUCUGAUAAUUUAUGAGUGAUUAUUUGCGUGGCCCCUAGCAUAACCGACAGGUCUUUGACACCUCCCUGGCCAAUGAUCGGUCUUUCCUACACCCUGUGUUGUCGAGGAUGCAGGGUUCAGUUCUAGCUCCUUACCUUAUCCAGGCCUGAAGCUUUCUUUCCUGUCCCAGAAAUGGCAUUACAACUUCAGUCCUGCCCUCAGGUCCAGGGUUUCGAAUGUCUACCGACCAUCACUUUCUGUGCUGGCACCAGGGAAUUUUCCCUGUUUGAGUUUACCGAUACAUUUCAUACAUUUUUAAAACAAUAUUUUAUCUAGGAUUACUUGGAGGGUAAAAGGAGACUUGCCAUUCACUUCUAUCUGAGAAAUUAUCCAGAAGACCCAGUGGCUUUUAUUUUCAAGGUGACAAGAGAAACCCAUGUGAGGACUAAGAGGGUGAAGAUUUUAAAUGUGGAAAGGAAGAAAGCAAAGAUUUGAAAAAGGCAGAAAAAUAAGAUCCCAUCAGAGAAACAGAGGACUAAGAGGUCUCUGUAGGUAGAUGUUUUAUAUGUUUAACUUUUUAUUUGGAAAUAAUUUUACAUGUACAGAAGAUUUGUAAAGAUAGCAACGAGCUCCCAUAUACCCUUCCCUCAGCUUCUUCUAAUGUUAGCAUCUUACAUGACCAGGGUACAAUGAUCAAAAGUAAGAAAUUAACAUUGGUACAAUAUCAUUACCUGAAUUACAGACUUUAUCAGAUUUUGCCAGUUUUCCACUAAUGUCCUUUUUCUGUUCCUGGGUCCAAUCUGGGAUUCCACAUUGUAUUUAAUUCUUCAUCAUCUUAGUCUCCUCCAAUCUGGGAGAAUUCCUUGUCUUUCAUGAUACUCUUGAGAAAUACCUGUCAGGUAUUUUGUAAAAUACUCCUCAAUUUGCAUUUGUUUGGUUUUUUUCUCAUGAUCAGAUUGAGGCUAUGUAUUCAUGGGAAAGAUACCCCAGAGGUGAGGUGCUCUUUUCUUUUUUUUUUUUGAGACGGAGCCUCGCUCUGUCGCCCAAGCUGGAGUGCAGUGGCUUGAUCUGGGCUCACUGCAAGCUCCGCCUCCCGGGUUCACGCCGUUCUCCUGCCUCAGCCUCCCUGGUAGCUGGGAUUAGAGGCGCACGCCGCCACGCCCGGCUAUUUUUUUGUGUGUUUUUAGCAGAGAUGGGGUUUCAUCGUGUUAGCCAGGAUGGUCUUGAUCUCCUGACCUCGUGAUCUGCCCGUCUCAGCCUCCUAAAGUGCUGGGAUUACAGGCGUGAGCCACCGCACCCAGCUGAGGUGCCCUUUUCAGUGCAUCAUAUUCGCGGUACCUGUUGUCAGUAUGUCUUAUUACUGGUGAUGUUGACCUUGAUCAUUUGGCUAAUGUGCUGUUUACCAUGCUUUUUAAUUAUUGUAAAGGUUUGUUUUGUUUUUGUUGUUGUUGUUGUUGUUGUUUUUGAGACAGAGUCUUGCUCUGUCGCCCAGGCUGGAGUGCAGUGGCACAAUUUUGGCUCACUGCAACCUCUGCCUCCUGGGUUCAAGCAAUUCUCCUGCCUCAGCCUCCCGAGUAGCUGGGAUUACAGGGUGCCCACCACCAUGCCCGACCAAUUUUUUGUAUUUGUAGUAGAGACGGGGCUUCACCAUGGUGGCCAGGCUGGUCUUGAACUCCUGACCUCAUGAUCCACCCACCUCAGCCUUCCAAAGUGCUAGGAUUACAGGUGGAAGCCACCGCACCUGGCCCCAAAUAACCAUUUUUCUCCCAUAACAUUGUCCAUUAAUUUAUGCAUACAUAGGCAGAUCCUCCCUGCAGCAAUGUUUCACCAGUGUUCUGGUGUUCUCACAAUGAUUUUCUAUUUCCUCCUUUCCUUUUACAUCUAUUAUUUGGAAUUAUUCUGUAAGAAGUUGUCCUUUCUCUACCAUUUACUUUUAUUCAAUCAUUUAUUUAUAUCAGUAUGGACUAAAUUGUGUUUAUUUUAUUCUGCUUCAUAAUUCAAUGUUUUAUUUUGUCUUCGAAAUUGUUCUAGCUGUGGCCAUUGGAAGCUCUUUUAGGUUGGCUCCUGUGUCCUCUCAGUGUGCUCCCACCCUUUUCUUGAGUACUUACUUUUUGGUACCAUGACAUCCUCCAAGCUCAUCUUCCUUCAUCCCUGCCCCAGCCCUAGACAAAUCACUUUUCCAAGGAGCUCUAUAAUUGUAUUAAACCACAGUGGUAGAUAGUUUGAACCCUCUCCUUUCAUUCAGGGAAUGAGAACAGAGUCAGCAAAGCAGCUAAGGAACUUUAGGUAAGUCCAACAUUCAGAGACUGAGUAGAGAAGGGGUUGGGAGCCAACAAAGGAAAAGAGAAGGAACCACCAAAGAAAUGGGAGCAAACUCAGAGCAUGGUAUCAGAGAAGCUGAGAAGACAUCCUCAGCUCUAACCUCAGGGUCCCCCAUCAUUUCCUACCUGAUCUAUUUCCCACCUUCAUCUAUUCCCUCUCUAGGAAAACAGGAAUUUUCCAGGCAGAUAUCCUUACUGUCCUGGCCUAACCACAUCCCUAACUCUGCUGGAACUGCAGUAAACAUAGCCACAACCAGCAAAUUCAGCCCUAAGGACUUUAGACCUUCAUCUCACAAGCUGAAAUAUUUUCCCCUCCUCUCUCCUAACCAAAUAUCACUCAUCUUUCCAAAGCCAGGCAAGUCACAACUUUUCUUGAACCUUUUUCCAAACUCUCAGCCUACAUUUAUCCACUGUUUUUUUAAUAAAUAUCAUGGUUCUUAUCUCUUCAGUCAUUUCAGUACUUGCAAUAUAUUCUCUAAAAAUUUUUUGUUUCAUAUAAUUUAUUACCCAACAAUACUGUAGUUCCUUCAGGUGAGAGCCCAUACUUCAUGCUGUCUGGUAUGCACAGUAGUUAGUAAUAUCUAACUAAUAAUAGACAUUUAGUAAAUAUAUGUCAGUUUAACAUUUAUAUCAACAAAUCAACCACUAUAGAUAGUCAUCAAAAAAAUAGUUGAAAACUGGGAAGAUUCCAGCAGCUAUCUUAUCUAUUCAGGAAUGUUAAAAAGUACUCCUUAAGAAACAAAAUUGGAAUAGCUAUCAAAUUCCUUAUGGCCUUAGUCAUACUACAAGAAAAUGUAACCCUGAGCCACAGCAAUUCUUAUUUCUCAUCAGAAAAUAAUUUGUCAGGAUAUUUAUGGCUUAUCUAUUCAUAAAGUAAGUCAUUAUGGUAUUUUACACAACCCUUUCUUGCUUUGUUUUAGAACAACUACCUAAUUUUCUAUUUUCAAAAUCAACUACUUGUUAUGGAAUAACUAAUAUGUAAAGCUAUUAAAUUUUCAAAGGACAAAUGGAAGCAUAUUAAUGGAAUUCAUUUUUUAAAGGUGAAUGAUUAUUUUCCAUAUUAAAAACAUAAUGCUUCUUUGUCGAACGGUCAAGAAAAUACGUAUGAGAAAAAAAUGUAUUUCAUAAUCCCAUACCCCAAAUCAGAGACCACUAACAUUUCAUUGUAUAAUAUACCAUAUGUACAUAUAUGGGGGUGGUGUAUGAGAUGAUUUUAUGCAAAUUAUUUUGUAACUUACCUUUUUCACUUAAUGUUUAGUAUUUUCUCACAUUACUAAAUAAGUUUCUACAUUAUCUCUUUGUGGUAGCGAAUGGAAUGUCAGAUUGAAUGUAUCUUCAUUUACUAAACUUCCAAUAUGUGCCACACUGUGAUAAAUAUUCUUAUGCUAAAUUGGGAGCAAAACUGGGAACACAACCAUAAUUAUUUCAUUAGUAUAAAUUUAUAAAAGUAAAUCUCUCUGUAUGAAUAGCUUUAUACAGCUUACGGGUUUUUGUGUUUUGUUUUUUAAUGACCAGUGCCCACCUGCCCAUCAGAAAGGUUGUGCCAAUUUACCAUUAUUAGUAGUUAAAGCAACUUUCAGAUACUAUAUCAUUUCAUAUUUCUAAAAAAAAACCAUGUAUCUUUCUGAAGAGUCUCUAUAAAGAUGAUGAAGUAAUGCUACAUUUUCUUUUAUCUACUAUGGGAGCGCCCUUUUUCCCUUCAACUUUUAUACAUUUUUAAGUAUUUUGCUUCCUAAUAUAAAAAAUGCAAAACAACACACAUUAUUUAGCAUGAGUAGCAAAGAAAGCACAAGGUCAUCUGAGCAAUAUAGUCAAGAGAACAUGGCUGCAGCUAAGGAACAAUAAUAAAAUUGAUUAAUCAAGCUCCUAAUUGUAAAUAUCUUAUCAAGAAAAAUUAUCUUAAAGUAAGUUUUUCUGCUUUCUUUGGUAUUAUUAGUGUAUUUGCAUGAAAGAUAAUAUUUUGCGCUUUUAUUUGAGAUUUACCAUUUUUUCUUAUAAAAGAGAAUCAAGCUUAGCCAACACCUGCAAGUGCACAAACCCAUCAUGGAAAGAUAGCUGACACAUUUGAAGUAAGAAAUAAUGAUGUUUCCCAGUAGAAAUGUGAUCAUUAGUUAUUUAUUUGUAUUUAUACUCAUUUAUACACUAACCUUUACACAAAAAAUUUUAGACAGCAAAUUUAUAUUUUAAAUAACAGAAUAACAAAAUAAUUGGUUAAACUUAUUAUUUUAAACAAACCAAUAAUUCCAAGACAAAGAGAAAUACAAAUAUGUCAAUAUGAUAGCUCUGCUUGAAUUUAAAAUUUGAUUCCAUGAAUUGUCUGCUCCUAUUUGAGCCACAGGUCUUCACUGCUAAGAAACAUAUCAAACUUAACUUAAUAAAAAACAUUAAAAUGACAAUUGAAUAAUUUUCAAUUAUUAAUACUUAUUGCAAGAGAAAAAUGUACACAAGUACUUAAAAGAAACAAAUGGUUAAUAUAUAAACUUUUCCAUUUCUAUAGAUAAAAGUCAGAAGAGCAGUGUUGGACUAAGAUUACUUUUGAACAACUUUUGAAACAUUUGAUCAGGCUGCAGUUAAAAACCAGCCCACUUUCCCCUUCAAAGAUCUGAAAGGCAGAGGAUAAAAUCAACAUUUUCCUUUCUACUCGCCCAGCAUCAAUCAUGGGUGACAAUCUCUACAAGAUUGCUUUAAGUUGAACAAUCUUUUAAACUAAUAUCGUAUUCUUAAAGAGAGAUGAAGUUGGCAUCUAAGAAAAAAAGAAACACUUUAUUGAUCCCUAAAGAGAUGUUAAGAAAGCCAAAGAUCACAUAAGCAGUCUGUUUGGCAGUGGCAACAACAUAAGGAAAAGCUAUCACUGAACAUGACAGGGCCUACCAGGAUGCAGAGAUCUGCACAUACAAUCCCAUUUUGCUAUUUGUAAUAUUAUUUAUAUUUCCUGCAAAUUGGACAAUAUACAUUUGGUAAGUCAAACAAAGUUGCUUCUAAAACAAAGAAAUACUGGGCAAAAGAACUGAUAAGUGAUUAGCAAAGUCAGGUCUACUCCCAUCAAGCACACACAAUAUUUAUAAGACAUGUACCGUGUGAUAUUGCUAGAGUGGCUACAGGACCGCUGAGCAAGACUCAUGCUUCUCGAAAAAUGCCUCCCAGUUUAAAUGCUAAGAGAGUGGCUCUGUAAAUGCAUGUUACACUUUGGAAGCUCCUAAUAUUGUGGAGUAAAAAUACACACAUCUGCAUGCGAAAUGCUUUAUUCUCUCAUUUUAAUUUUCCAAAUUUUAAAACGUAUUUUUUAUUGGUAUGAGUUGUCUCUAUGAUUUGAGCAAAUUAUCUGUUUUUCUAGCUUACAUGUUUGGAAGAGUGUUUUUUUGGUAGACUAAGAGUAUGAAUUUAAAAAAUGAAAUAUUAUUUUCCAGGAACCAUAGUCAUUACAAACUUUUGGAGGAAGAAAAAAAAUUCAUGUAAAUUGGUACUGUGCAACUCAGUAAUUCUGAGAGCUUUAGUUCCUUCUUAGUAGAGAAUGAAUUGUGUGUGUGUGUGUGAAAGGAUGUGACUAAAUACGGUGAGUCUUACUGAGAACUUAAAAUUAAACUCCAGAAGCAGCUUCACUUAUACCCAGUGAAUGCCUAAGUAGUCCAUCUUUUACUGCAUCUCAUUAUGUGCAAUAAUGUCAUAUUUUGAUUAAUGUGUUUCUUCUUUGUUUUUGUUUCUGGCCUUAUAGAUAUAUGGUAUAUCUCCUAUAUCUUUUAAAUCUCUGACCAGUAAGCACUUUCCUUUUCUGACUGUACAGAGGAGAGAGAAAAUACUUUAGAAAGGACCCCAGACUCUUGCUUCUCAAAGACCAGCAUCAUGGCAUCAUCUAGUAACUUUUUAUAAAAUCAGAUUCAUGGGCCCCUCCCCAAACAUACUGAAUCUCAACCUACUUUAAACAAGAUCCCCAAGAGAUGCAAACACAA